CCUACGGGAGGCAGCAGUGGGGAAUAUUGCACAAUGGGGGAAACUCUGAUGCAGCAACGCCGCGUGAGUGAAGAAGUAUUUCGGUAUGUAAAGCUCUAUCAGCAGGGAAGAAGAUGACGGUACCUGAGUAAGAAGCCUCGGGUAACUACGUGCCAGCAGCCGCGGUAAUACGUAGGGGGCAAGCGUUAUCCGGAUUUACUGGGUGUAAAGGGGGCGCAGACGGGAAAACAAGUCUGAAGUGAAAGCCCGGGGCUCAACCCCGGGACUGCUUUGAAAACUACCUGUCUGGAGUGCUGGAGAGGCAAGCGGAAUUCCUAGUGUAGCGGUGAAAUGCGUAGAUAUUAGGAAGAACACCAGUGGCGAAGGCGACUUACUGGACUGUAACUGACGUUGAGGCUCGAAAGCGUGGGGAGCAAACAGGAUUAGAUACCCUUGUAGUC
Molecule: ribosomal RNA, 440 nt
Filed under: uncultured bacterium
Lineage: Bacteria
Description: partial 16S ribosomal RNA
Rfam family: Bacterial small subunit ribosomal RNA
Source: RNAcentral